This 1586-nucleotide unclassified non-coding RNA is filed under the name Hevea brasiliensis (rubber tree). The record is from RNAcentral. Lineage: Eukaryota; Viridiplantae; Streptophyta; Magnoliopsida; Malpighiales; Euphorbiaceae.
GUAAAAUCGUAGCGUCGGUCACUAAUCCUCCAUCAAUAAUAUAUGAUGACUAGACUACAGUCACUGCGUGGUGGUGGCCAUGACGUAUAUGAGUAUUUGAGAGGAAGGGGGAGGGGAAAGAAAAACAUUUCAUUGAAAUCAUUAUUUAUGUACACGCACACACAAUCUAUCUAUACAAAGUAUAUAAAAAGCCAACAGAAUAAGCUUGAAGUCUUUAAAGUUUUAACUGGAUUUGGCAAUCGCUCAAAAAUUUAAAAGAAAAUUGGGAUUGUUGCUGAAAAUUUAUCUGAAAUUUUCGUCAUCCUUUAACUUGAAGGAAGGGAGAAAAAGCACUAAUGAACUUAGUUAAUUCCCUAUCAUGCAGCUUAACGUCAAUGCUGUAAAUCAUCGUGGCUUAUGCUGAUUAACCUGGAAGGAACAACAAGUCAAUCGUAUAAAUACAGUGCGACGUCAAUGCAAAAUCACAUUAAUUGAGGAAUAAAUGAUGAACUAACAGAUAGUUCUUAGAUAAUUUCUAAGUCGACGAAAUCUCCUUGAAAAGAACUUGAGCAAGGGGGUUUCUGGAACAGGUAUCAGUUUGCCAACAAAUGCAAGCGGCCAGCUAGUUUAAGAAGAAAAAGUGGACUUGACAUCAGUAGUUAAACAGAGAAUAUAUAUGCACAUGUAGAUUGCACGAUUUUUAAAUGGUAAUGUAACGUACUGAAUGAUUCACUUUUCACAAGAAAACAAUGGAUUUAAUACUCCAUUCAUGUAGAUCAUGCACACCAAGUUUAAGCUUCAAGCCAAUCAGAUAUUUAUCGAUUUUAAUCUAAAAUUGAAAUUUUUACCCAAAACAAGUAUGGAUAAUAUUACUGUAACGUAUAUUAAAUAAUUAUCCAUUACUGAUUGGCGUAAAAAUUAGUAUGUAAGAACUGCAUGAAUAGAAUAUUAAGCCUAAUAAUUGGUUCACUGAAAAAAGUACAUAAAAAGCUAAAGAGACUGAAUUGAGGGAAUUAUAUCAGCUAGUCUUACACGCAUACAGAGAAAUAUAUAUGACACCAUCCAAAAGGAACAGAGUUUUACUCUGUUGAUGCUCAUGGAAAUCUUCCAAUUAAGGACUGCAGUUACUGACCUCAUAAAACCAAUAGCAACUGAAAUCAGCCAUUGCUUCCAGUUAAGCCCCACUGUUGAAGUAAACUUUCCAUUGAACUCAACUAUAAUAAACUGAAGAAUUAUUUCUACUGCAGCUAUCCCCAUGAACCAAUGAUUUUUUGUGAUUCCUUUAAAAAUAUUCUUUUCAUCUGGUUUUCGGGCAUUAAAUUCAUUGAAGAUUUGACAAAGCACAAAUGCAUUGAACAUUAUGGUAUGGUUCACUUUGUUUGCACGUUCAGCACUUUGAUGCUGCAGGCCUAAUAAACUCCUCCCUCGGAAAGCUAGGACAAGCACUACACUUGCCUGAUAAAUUGUCUGAACUUUCCAAAUGAAAUUAAUAGCGAGCAUGUAAUUAAAAUGAAUGAAAAUACAUCUAGUAUAGAAGAUGAGCACUUAAAAUAGAGAUAUGUAUUCUAUGUACCUGUAUCAGAAGGUUCCUCCACAUGAUAUUUGUU